RNAcentral lists this ribosomal RNA (519 nucleotides) under Ophisaurus attenuatus. RNAcentral's name for it is "partial 16S ribosomal RNA". It matches the Rfam family "Bacterial large subunit ribosomal RNA", at positions 1851 to 2605 of the family's 2925-position model. Lineage: Eukaryota; Metazoa; Chordata; Lepidosauria; Squamata; Anguidae. The record is from RNAcentral.
GGUCCCGCCUGCCCAGUGACCAACCACUUUAAACGGCCGCGGUAUCCUAACCGUGCAAAGGUAGCGUAAUCACUUGUCCCCUAAAUAGGGACUAGUAUGAACGGCUAAAUGAGGGCCCAACUGUCUCCUUUGAUUAAUCAGUGAAAUUGAUCCACCCGUACAAAAGCUGGUAUACACCCAUAAGACGAGAAGACCCUGUGGAGCUUAAAAUGCUUAAGUCAAAAUAACAGCACAACCAAAAAUGACAUAACAUUUUCAGUUGGGGCGACUACGGAAAUAAACCAAACUUCCAAGCCAAGAGCCAACCCGCUCUACCACAGACAAACAUGUCGAACUACCACCUGACCCAGAACCACUCUGAGUAACGAACCAAGUUACCCCAGGGAUAACAGCGCCAUCUUCUUCAAGAGUCCCCAUCGACAAGAAGGUUUACGACCUCGAUGUUGGAUCAGGACACCCAAAUGGUGCAGCCGCUAUAAAUUUGGUUCGUUUGUUCAACGAUUAAAGUCCUACGUGAUC